RNAcentral lists this ribosomal RNA (497 nucleotides) under uncultured bacterium. RNAcentral's name for it is "partial 16S ribosomal RNA". It matches the Rfam family "Bacterial small subunit ribosomal RNA", at positions 28 to 507 of the family's 1533-position model. The record is from RNAcentral.
GAUGAACGCUGGCGGCGUGCCUAAUACAUGCAAGUCGAGCGAACGGACGAGAAGCUUGCUUCUCUGAUGUUAGCGGCGGACGGGUGAGUAACACGUGGAUAACCUACCUAUAAGACUGGGAUAACUUCGGGAAACCGGAGCUAAUACCGGAUAAUAUUUUGAACCGCAUGGUUCAAAAGUGAAAGACGGUCUUGCUGUCACUUAUAGAUGGAUCCGCGCUGCAUUAGCUAUUUGGUAAGGUAACGGCUUACCAAGGCAACGAUGCAUAGCCGACCUGAGAGGGUGAUCGGCCACACUGGAACUGAGACACGGUCCAGACUCCUACGGGAGGCAGCAGUAGGGAAUCUUCCGCAAUGGGCGAAAGCCUGACGGAGCAACGCCGCGUGAGUGAUGAAGGUCUUCGGAUCGUAAAACUCUGUUAUUAGGGAAGAACAUAUGUGUAAGUAACUGUGCACAUCUUGACGGUACCCAAUCAGAAAGCCACGGCUAACUACGUG